GACGAACGCUGGCGGCGUGCCUAACACAUGCAAGUCGAGCGAAAAGACGAGGAGCUUGCUCCUCUGACGUUAGAGGCGGAGGGGAGAGUCACAUGUGGAUAACCUACCUAUAAGACUGGGAUAACUUCGGGAAACCGGAUCUUAUACCGGAUAAUAUAUUGAACCGCGUGGUUCAAUAGUGAAAGUCGGUUUUUGUGUCACUUAUAGACGGAUCCGAGCCGCAUUAGCUAGUUGGUAAGGUAACGGCUUACCAAGGCGAGGAUGCGUAGCCGCCCUGAGCGGGUGAACGGCCACACUGGAAGUGAGACACGGUACAGACUCCUAGAGUGAGCAGCAGUACAGAAUCUUCCGGGAUGGGGGAAGGCCUGACGGUGCAACGCGGCGGAAGGGAUGAAGGUCUUCUGAUCGGAGAACUCUGUUAUUAGGGGGGAACAAAUGUUUAAGUAACUAUGCUCGUCUUGACGGUACCUGGUCAAAAAGCCACGGCUAACUACGUG
This 497-nucleotide ribosomal RNA is filed under the name uncultured bacterium. RNAcentral describes it as "partial 16S ribosomal RNA". It matches the Rfam family "Bacterial small subunit ribosomal RNA", at positions 28 to 507 of the family's 1533-position model. The record is from RNAcentral.